RNAcentral lists this transfer RNA (73 nucleotides) under Ailuropoda melanoleuca (giant panda). It matches the Rfam family "tRNA". From Rfam's summary of the family: Transfer RNA (tRNA) molecules are approximately 80 nucleotides in length. Their secondary structure includes four short double-helical elements and three loops (D, anti-codon, and T loops). Further hydrogen bonds mediate the characteristic L-shaped molecular structure. tRNAs have two regions of fundamental functional importance: the anti-codon, which is responsible for specific mRNA codon recognition, and the 3' end, to which the tRNAs corresponding amino acid is attached (by aminoacyl-tRNA synthetases). tRNAs cope with the degeneracy of the genetic code in two manners: having more than one tRNA (with a specific anti-codon) for a particular amino acid; and 'wobble' base-pairing, i.e. permitting non-standard base-pairing at the 3rd anti-codon position. Lineage: Eukaryota; Metazoa; Chordata; Mammalia; Carnivora; Ursidae. The record is from Rfam by way of RNAcentral.
AUCUGUCUGGCUCAGCUGGUAGAGCGUGUGACUCUUGAUCUCAGGGUUGUGAGUUCAAGCCCCACAUUGGGUG